AACAACAUCCUGGUGCUGAUUGAGUAGUUGUGAUAUAACUCCAGCAUCAGUGAUUUUGUUG
Molecule: microRNA precursor, 61 nt
Organism: Gadus morhua (Atlantic cod)
Lineage: Eukaryota; Metazoa; Chordata; Actinopteri; Gadiformes; Gadidae
Gene: gmo-mir-338-1
Product: gmo-mir-338-1
Source: Ensembl